CUCUGGGGGGUGUAAACAGUUAACACACUCAGCUGCUAACUGAAAAGUUGGUGGUUCAAGGCCACCCAGAGG
Molecule: transfer RNA, 72 nt
Filed under: Loxodonta africana (African savanna elephant)
Lineage: Eukaryota; Metazoa; Chordata; Mammalia; Proboscidea; Elephantidae
Rfam family: tRNA
About the family: Transfer RNA (tRNA) molecules are approximately 80 nucleotides in length. Their secondary structure includes four short double-helical elements and three loops (D, anti-codon, and T loops). Further hydrogen bonds mediate the characteristic L-shaped molecular structure. tRNAs have two regions of fundamental functional importance: the anti-codon, which is responsible for specific mRNA codon recognition, and the 3' end, to which the tRNAs corresponding amino acid is attached (by aminoacyl-tRNA synthetases). tRNAs cope with the degeneracy of the genetic code in two manners: having more than one tRNA (with a specific anti-codon) for a particular amino acid; and 'wobble' base-pairing, i.e. permitting non-standard base-pairing at the 3rd anti-codon position.
Source: Rfam by way of RNAcentral